Molecule: long non-coding RNA, 1646 nt
Organism: Poecilia latipinna (sailfin molly)
Lineage: Eukaryota; Metazoa; Chordata; Actinopteri; Cyprinodontiformes; Poeciliidae
Exons: 2
Source: RefSeq, a predicted model, not a curated record
UGUGGGCCGCCGCUUCCAUGGAGACCAUUUCAGAUUACAAAUAAAGCUUUAGAGAAACAUAAAAAAAAAAUCCCGCUGCAGCAUGUGAGGCUACAAGCAGCGUGCCUGAAAUGAAAAUCACCCACCUUCAAAAAACCACACUCUAAUGUAAACGGAGAAGCAUGAGUGCAGUUAAAGACGGAGGUAGCCUCAGAGUCUGCGCUGAGGUCAAGACUAUUUAAGGCGCAGACAGUCUGACUCCUCGAGGAACCAGGCGGAGGAAAUGACAGACUACCACACCAGAAGAAGAAAGAGGGACACGGCGCAGAGAAAACAAGAGGAACAACUGGCCUGAACUCUCGCUCCAUACAAAACCAGAGCGGACCGACGGCUCGUUUCUGGAGUUAUGAGCUUCAGACAGAUCAGCAGCUUCAGGGAGAACAGAAACAAAGUCAGCAGAAAGCAGAGCAGCACAUCGACUCACAGGACGCAGAUCAGACCAUCGUCAGAACCGAGGCGCUGGAGAAAAGGGAUGCAAAAAGGCUUGCAGUGGAGGUGGAAGAAAUGGACAGGUUAAAACAACUAAACUGACGCUUUGAAAAAGAAAAGCACAACUGGAAGUAGUGCAAAAAGAAAUCUGAACUUUUCUGUGUUUUAUAAUUUAUUUUUUUGGCAAUAUACUUCUACUUUCUAUUUUAUGAUUACUGGCGUAUUUAAAAGGAUUCACACAAACUACUAUGAAACAUUUGAGAUUGCAGGAGAAAUAAGGCAGCAGAGCUGUCCUCUGUUCAGCUGUUAGCUGGAUUGUCUCAGAAACAAAAUGAAAGAUUUUCUGACAGCUGCCUGCUCUAAGGAAGACGCUGACUGCUAAAAACUUAAAGGAGGUCGCGUAACAAAAUCUCAGCUAUGUCUUUUAGAGAAUUUGACGAAGCGUGAAGAAGCUUUGCAAAACCUGUAGUGAGAGAUUCACUCAUAUUUUUGUGUUUUGUUUGGGGUUUGUUUUUUAUAUCACAGAAGUUGGAAAAAGAGAAUUCACAUUUUGAUCAUCAUAUUGUAAAGUUUAAAAUAAAACCUACAGAUGGCCAAUUCAUUUAAAACAAGCAUCUAAAACCUGGAGGAAACCAGCUUUGGAGUUCUGGCUUUGGGAUCCGUUUCUGAUGCAUCCUUGAUAAUGGUUAGCUUUAAUUUUGUAUUUUUUUAAAAAACAGCAGACUGGUUCACUUGAUGACACUGAGAUCCAAUGAACUUUGUAAUGUGAACGGCUCAACCAGAGCUAAUUUGGUGAACAACAUUGAGCGACGACCCAGAGCCUUUCAACCUUCUAGCUGUACUGUUUUCCCAGCCUCUGUGUGGACUGCUAAAUUAUACAGCAGCAUCAACCAACCACAUUUAGCCGUACAGAGCAUCUCUCCUUCAGUAAGUAUUUUAACUGUAGAGAUUCCUGAUGAAUGACAAAUCAAGGACAAUGUCUGGUUCUCAGUGAUGAAUCGGUUUAAGACCUAAAACCCUAAAAUCCAUCUCCCUUAAUAAUCUCUUCACUGUAACCUCGACGUUUAUUUCAGUUCUUAUCAUCCUAGACUUGCUAAUGAUUUUUCUGGCUCCUAAUGAAGCAGUGAAGUCUGAGGAAUCUGUGUCAUUAUUGAAUAAACGUUAUCUUUCUUGUUCAC